This 401-nucleotide ribosomal RNA is filed under the name uncultured bacterium. RNAcentral describes it as "bacterial SSU rRNA". It matches the Rfam family "Bacterial small subunit ribosomal RNA", at positions 74 to 512 of the family's 1533-position model. The record is from RNAcentral.
UGGGUUUCGGCCUGAUAGUGGCGGACGGGUGAGUAUCGCGUAGGGAUUUAUCGUUGGGUGGGGGAUAACCUUGGGAAACUGGGGCUAAUACCGCAUGACGCCUUUGGGCCAAAGCAGAGAUGCGCCUGACGAGGAGCCUGCGUCCGAUUAGCUAGUUGGUUGGGUAAAGGCUGACCAAGGCAUCGAUCGGUAGCUGGUCUGAGAGGAUGAUCAGCCACACUGGGACUGAGACACGGCCCAGACUCCUACGGGAGGCAGCAGUGGGGAAUAUUGGACAAUGGGCGCAAGCCUGAUCCAGCAAUGCCGCGUGGAUGAAGAAGGUUUUCGGAUUGUAAAGUCCUUUCGGCGGGGACGAUGAUGACGGUACCCGCAGAAGAAGCCCCGGCUAACUUCGUGCCAGC